Long non-coding RNA from Ailuropoda melanoleuca (giant panda), 241 nucleotides. RefSeq lists it as uncharacterized. NCBI's taxonomy places the organism in Eukaryota, Metazoa, Chordata, Mammalia, Carnivora, Ursidae. The record is from RefSeq and is a predicted model, not a curated record. The transcript has 3 exons.
CCUUCCCCGACCUCGUUCCUCCUUCUCCAGACACCCCUGGGCUUGCAGAGAACCCUGUGUGGCCAGGCAUGGCCUUCGGGCACGAGUCUCCCUUCCCACAAGCCAUUUGAACAUUCAGGAUGCACGGAGCAGAUGAAUGGGGCAUGGCCCCUGCCAUGGAGGAGGACGGGACUGGCAAAGGAGCGUAUUUACUUUUGCCAGAAUGUCACAGAAGUGGAUUCAUACCAUAUGUAGCCUUUAC